RNAcentral lists this long non-coding RNA (1264 nucleotides) under Parus major (Great Tit). RNAcentral's name for it is "lncRNA (ENSPMJG00000017063.1)". The record is from RNAcentral. Lineage: Eukaryota; Metazoa; Chordata; Aves; Passeriformes; Paridae.
AAGGGAUGGAAGCGCUCGCUGUUGGUGCCGGCCUUUUUGGGGUUACUCAUUCACUUUAGGGCGUCGGGCUGGCUGUGCCGGGGAUGCGGAAUCCCGGAAUCCCGUGGAAAAACCGGACUUUUCCAGGCGAAACCAUCGGCUCUUCCCUCCCCGCGGGGAGCGGCGGGGUCCGGGUGAGGAGCGGAACCGCCCCGACCUCCGGAUCCUCCCGAGCCGCGGAGCCACGGCCGGACAGACGGACAGAAGGACGGAGGGGGGGAAAGAGGGACAGAGGGACGGAGGGAGGGACAGAAGGACGGAGGGAGGCGGCUCUAGGCCGGGGGGGAGGAACUACAAGUCCCGUGAAGCCGCGCCGCCCGCCCGCCGCCGCGGGGCUAUAAAAGGGGGAAUGGCCCGGCAGCCGCGCUCGGAGCAUCCCCGGCAGCGGCGGAGCCUCUCCCGCUGCCCAUCCCGGGCUCCUGCCCGCAGCAAUUCCCCCCGGGAGAUGGGAGGGAGCCGUAUCCAGAGCCCCCCGAGCGCGCUGAGGCUCGGGAGGAGGAGGAUGAGGAGGAUGAGGAGGAUGAGGAAGAUGCCGCUGGGCGCACCCGGAGAGCCGCAGCCCCGGCGGGGUCCGGAGGUGGAGGUUUUGCCAUUCCUGGAGGGAAGGAAUUCCAUCGGGAGCUGCUGGAAUCUCCUCGUGCCGGCGCUGAGGACACCGGGCCGUGCCCAGGGCUGGCACUCGUCCCCUCGGCCAGGGAACGGCUCCCAAGGCAGGAUUUAUCCCUGGAUGUCUCCUCUGCACCGGAACCCCGAGCCCUGAGCCUCGGCUGGGAUUUGGACGCUCUGGGAACGGCACGGCCGGGAGGCUGCAGGCACCUGCUCCUCCCAAAUCCCGCGGAUUUACCGCUCCUGGCACCUUCCUGCUGCCACUGGCUCCAUCCCAGGGAAUCUCCCGAGGGACAGAAGUGGGAAAGCAGCACUUAGAGGUUACAAUUCCUUCUUUUUCUGCGCUGCUCCUGAAUCCUGGCUCUGGAGGAGGAAGGAUCCCAUGCACUCCUGGAGGACAAAUCCUGCUGCUCCCAGGUGAGUCAAGAAAAUGUAUUUUUCCUUUAUUUUUUUUUUUCCUUAAAAGCACCUUGAACUUCUUGGAAAAUGAUAUUUUCCCUGUCUUGAGGAAAAAAAAUGCCCAAUGCAGGGAGCUGCUGUCAGGGGAUGAGGGAACAGACAGGUUUGUUCUGACAGCUGGACUGUCCGCUUUAAUCAAAUUAAUUUAAUCAAAUCAAAU